CUGCUAUACAUGCAGUCGAGCGGACCGACGGGAGCUUGCUCCCUUAGGUCAGCGGCGGACGGGUGAGUAACACGUGGGUAACCUGCCUGUAAGACUGGGAUAACUCCGGGAAACCGGGGCUAAUACCGGAUGCUUGAUUGAACCGCAUGGUUCAAUCAUAAAAGGUGGCUUUUAGCUACCACUUACAGAUGGACCCGCGGCGCAUUAGCUAGUUGGUGAGGUAACGGCUCACCAAGGCGACGAUGCGUAGCCGACCUGAGAGGGUGAUCGGCCACACUGGGACUGAGACACGGCCCAGACUCCUACGGGAGGCAGCAGUAGGGAAUCUUCCGCAAUGGACGAAAGUCUGACGGAGCAACGCCGCGUGAGUGAUGAAGGUUUUCGGAUCGUAAAACUCUGUUGUUAGGGAAGAACAAGUACCGUUCGAAUAGGGCGGUACCUUGACGGUACCUAACCAGAAAGCCACGGCUAACUACGUGCCAGCAGCCGCGGUAAUACGUAGGUGGCAAGCGUUGUCCGGAAUUAUUGGGCGUAAAGCGCGCGCAGGCGGUUUCUUAAGUCUGAUGUGAAAGCCCCCGGCUCAACCGGGGAGGGUCAUUGGAAACUGGGGAACUUGAGUGCAGAAGAGGAGAGUGGAAUUCCACGUGUAGCGGUGAAAUGCGUAGAGAUGUGGAGGAACACCAGUGGCGAAGGCGACUCUCUGGUCUGUAACUGACGCUGANGCGCGAAAGCGUGGGGAGCGAACAGGAUUAGAUACCCUGGUAGUCCACGCCGUAAACGAUGAGUGCUAAGUGUUAGAGGGUUUCCGCCCUUUAGUGCUGCAGCAAACGCAUUAAGCACUCCGCCUGGGGAGUACGGUCGCAAGACUGAAACUCAAAGGAAUGACGGGGGCCCGCACAGCGGUGGAGCAUGUGUUUAAUUCGAAGCAAC
RNAcentral lists this ribosomal RNA (930 nucleotides) under Bacillus licheniformis. Its description in RNAcentral is "bacterial SSU rRNA". It matches the Rfam family "Bacterial small subunit ribosomal RNA", at positions 44 to 960 of the family's 1533-position model. The record is from RNAcentral. Lineage: Bacteria; Bacillati; Bacillota; Bacilli; Caryophanales; Bacillaceae.